This 252-nucleotide ribosomal RNA is filed under the name uncultured bacterium. RNAcentral's name for it is "partial 16S ribosomal RNA". It matches the Rfam family "Bacterial small subunit ribosomal RNA", at positions 524 to 776 of the family's 1533-position model. The record is from RNAcentral.
UACGUAGGUGGCAAGCGUUAUCCGGAAUUAUUGGGCGUAAAGAGCGCGCAGGUGGUUUAUUAAGUCUGGUGUAAAAGGCAGUGGCUCAACCAUUGUAUGCAUUGGAAACUGGUAGACUUGAGUGCAGGAGAGGAGAGUGGAAUUCCAUGUGUAGCGGUGAAAUGCGUAGAUAUAUGGAGGAACACCGGUGGCGAAAGCGGCUCUCUGGCCUGUAACUGACACUGAGGCUCGAAAGCGUGGGGAGCAAACAGG